RNAcentral lists this ribosomal RNA (425 nucleotides) under uncultured bacterium. RNAcentral describes it as "bacterial SSU rRNA". It matches the Rfam family "Bacterial small subunit ribosomal RNA", at positions 356 to 773 of the family's 1533-position model. The record is from RNAcentral.
GGGGAAUUUUGGACAAUGGGCGCAAGCCUGAUCCAGCCAUUCCGCGUGAGUGAAGAAGGCCUUCGGGUUGUAAAGCUCUUUCGGCAGGGAAGAAACGGCCAUGGCUAAUAUCCGUGGCUAAUGACGGUACCUGAAGAAGAAGCACCGGCUAACUACGUGCCAGCAGCCGCGGUAAUACGUAGGGUGCGAGCGUUAAUCGGAAUUACUGGGCGUAAAGCGUGCGCAGGCGGUUUUGUAAGACAGAUGUGAAAUCCCCGGGCUCAACCUGGGAACUGCGUUUGCGACUGCAAGACUCGAGUACGGCAGAGGGGGGUGGAAUUCCACGUGUAGCAGUGAAAUGCGUAGAGAUGUGGAGGAACACCGAUGGCGAAGGCAGCCCCCUGGGUCGAUACUGACGCUCAUGCACGAAAGCGUGGGGAGCAAAC